Molecule: ribosomal RNA, 397 nt
Filed under: uncultured soil bacterium
Lineage: Bacteria
Description: bacterial SSU rRNA
Rfam family: Bacterial small subunit ribosomal RNA
Source: RNAcentral
AGAACGAACGCUGGCGGCAUGCCUAAUACAUGCAAGUCGAACGAAGGCUUCGGCCUUAGUGGCGCACGGGUGCGUAACGCGUGGGAAUCUGCCCCUUGGUUCGGAAUAACAGUUGGAAACGACUGCUAAUACCGGAUGAUGACGAAAGUCCAAAGAUUUAUCGCCAAGGGAUGAGCCCGCGUAGGAUUAGCUAGUUGGUGAGGUAAAGGCUCACCAAGGUCGACGAUCCUUAGCUGGUCUGAGAGGAUGAUCAGCCACACUGGGACUGAGACACGCCCAGACUCCUACGGGAGGCAGCAGUAGGGAAUAGUUGGACAAGUGGGACGAAAGCCUAGAUCCAGCAAUGCGCGUGAGUGAUGAAGUCCUUAGGUAUAAGUCUACGUUUACCGAGUACGUG